Molecule: ribosomal RNA, 377 nt
Filed under: uncultured bacterium
Lineage: Bacteria
Description: bacterial SSU rRNA
Rfam family: Bacterial small subunit ribosomal RNA
Source: RNAcentral
UAAUACGGAGGGUACUAGCGUUGUUCGGAAUUACUGGGCGUAAAGAGCGUGUAGGCGGUUUGGUCAGUCAGAUGUGAAAGCCCUGGGCUCAACCCAGGAAGUGCAUUUGAUACUGCCAUUCUUGAGUAUGGGAGAGGAGAGUGGAAUUCCCAGUGUAGAGGUGAAAUUCGUAGAUAUUGGGAGGAACACCCGUGGCGAAGGCGACUCUCUGGACCAAUACUGACGCUGAGACGCGAAGGCGUGGGGAGCAAACAGGAUUAGAUACCCUGGUAGUCCACGCCGUAAACGAUGAGAACUAGGUGCAGCGGGUAUUGACCCCUGCUGUGCCGGAAUUAACGCAUUAAGUUCUCCGCCUGGGGAGUACGGCCGCAAGGCUA